This 427-nucleotide ribosomal RNA is filed under the name uncultured bacterium. RNAcentral describes it as "partial 16S ribosomal RNA". It matches the Rfam family "Bacterial small subunit ribosomal RNA", at positions 355 to 774 of the family's 1533-position model. The record is from RNAcentral.
UGGGGAAUAUUGGACAAUGGGCGAAAGCCUGAUCCAGCCAUGCCGCGUGUGUGAAGAAGGUCUUCGGAUUGUAAAGCACUUUAAGUUGGGAGGAAGGGCAUUAACCUAAUACGUUAGUGUUUUGACGUUACCGACAGAAUAAGCACCGGGUAACUCUGUGCCAGCAGCCGCGGUAAUACAGAGGGUGCAAGCGUUAAUCGGAAUUACUGGGCGUAAAGCGCGCGUAGGUGGUUUGUUAAGUUGGAUGUGAAAUCCCCGGGCUCAACCUGGGAACUGCAUUCAAAACUGACUGACUAGAGUAUGGUAGAGGGUGGUGGAAUUUCCUGUGUAGCGGUGAAAUGCGUAGAUAUAGGAAGGAACACCAGUGGCGAAGGCGACCACCUGGACUAAUACUGACACUGAGGUGCGAAAGCGUGGGGAGCAAACA